Molecule: long non-coding RNA, 1568 nt
Organism: Vicia villosa (hairy vetch)
Lineage: Eukaryota; Viridiplantae; Streptophyta; Magnoliopsida; Fabales; Fabaceae
Exons: 5
Source: RefSeq, a predicted model, not a curated record
CUUUCCAAUAACUCCCUCUCUUUCGUUUCAAUUCACGAAAACUCUCGGUCUCCCUCUCUUUGAUUGCUAUAUCUUUCUGUUUCUCUCCAUCGAUCUCUCUCUUGCUCAAUCAACAACAACCUUCGGUCUCCCUAUGUUUUCAUCGUUCUCCAUGACUCAAACAGCAAAAACCAGAAACAUUCUCAUGUCAUCAAAACCCUAGAGUUUCAAAAUUAGAUUAAAUAGCAAUGGAGUGCAAGUUCAAUCGAAUAUCAUGGGGGCUAUUACCGAUCAAGUCUCGAUGAACACAGUGGUAUUUUAAAAAAAAGCGAAGAAGGAGAUCUUACACGGUCGGAGCUUGUCCGACGAGACUUCCUUUUCCGGCGGUGGUUCAGUAACUCGGGUAAGCCUUUGUGGUCCCACCUUUCUUCUUAUGUCUUCGAAAUUUAGUGUUGUUGAUGAAUAUCUUGAACUGUUGUUAAUACUUCGAUUUCAUUUUGUUGUUGGAGUUGAGUUGCAAUCGUUUUACUUCUGCUGGUCUGGUUCAUUGCAGGUGAGGUGAUGAAGAGGUGAUGAAGAAGAUGAGUUCAAUGGCUCAUUGAAUCAUUUAAUUGAUGCUGCAGCUUUUUCAAUUGGUUUGUUGGAUGUGGCUGCUAUGGUGCUGUUUGUGUAUGAAGAUUUUCUACAUUUGGGAAAGGCUCUACAGAGAGUAUGAUCUCUCCUUGGUGCAGGGUAUGUUUGAAGAGAGUUUUGGAGAGAUUUUAUUGUGAAAUUCUGUGAAGACUCAACAGAAAAUCAAGGCAGCCCUUUAAUUAAAGCAAGUCUUGCUUUAUGAGCAAGUUUUAUGGUACAGAUUUUCCCUUCCAACGGCAGGAUAUUUAAAGGCAUAUUCCUUUAGUUUCUACUAGAUCAACUUAUAUUGGCAUUGCAUAUUUUUCUCGAGACAUUAUGUCAUUCUAUAUAAAUAGCAUAUAUCUGUGGACAGUUCAGUACCUCAAAGACUAUUAAACAUUUGUCAAUACUGAUCGCUACUGGACAAAAAGUUUUGCCAAGACUUCAUCUCGUUGAAUUGAAUAUAAGAUAAUUAUAACUUCUACCAGUUGGCUUAAUCAUUUUGGUCCUCCACAUUCAAUAUAUGACAUAAUAGAAAUGGUGGAUUUGCAUCCUAUGAGCUCACAAGAUCUUAUGCAUGGCUAGAGAAACUAAAUCCAACUGAAACAUUUGAAGAUAUCACCAUUGAUUAUCAGUAUGAUGAUAUAUGUAUGUAAUAUACUAGUUGUUGAUGGAUUGAAAGGGAAUGAAUUUCCCUUCAGUCAUACUACUUGUGCUAUUUAUUCUUGUAAAUGCAUUUAAUUAUCCCAUUUCUUAUUAAUUUAAGUUGACAGCGACAAGAUCAAACCUCCAGUAUUGGAAGGAAUUGAUGCACUAGUAAGCAGUACGCAGUGUUUUCUAUAUCACGAUGCUGUAUCAAUUAGAUUGUAUAUUAUUUAUGUUGAUUUGUUGUCUCAUUGUUUUUAUUAAAAUACAAAGAGUCUGACAAUAAAUGCACAACCCGAUGUAUUUGGUUAGACAUGCUAUAAUAUUUGUAA